Molecule: non-coding RNA, 25 nt
Filed under: Cricetulus griseus (Chinese hamster)
Lineage: Eukaryota; Metazoa; Chordata; Mammalia; Rodentia; Cricetidae
Source: RNAcentral
ACUAAAGAAAGUGUAAACUAAUGGA